AUGCGGUUGUCUUACGUUUGGGAAGGAGAACAGAAGGAGUUAGGAAGACAACAAGCACCUGGUGCUUGUCCAUUCUGUGGUGGCAAAGUUGUAGCCAUGGAUGUUGAGGUUCAAUCCAAGCUCUGUUUCUUACCCAUGUGUUUUCAAAUCAAGAGAAAAUAUUCUUGUACUCUUUGUUCUAGACGUUUACAAGUUUUGUAUGAUAAUGCUUAA
Molecule: non-coding RNA, 213 nt
Organism: Vicia faba (fava bean)
Lineage: Eukaryota; Viridiplantae; Streptophyta; Magnoliopsida; Fabales; Fabaceae
Source: the annotation of a GenBank genome assembly